Non-coding RNA from Nicotiana tabacum (common tobacco), 713 nucleotides. Lineage: Eukaryota; Viridiplantae; Streptophyta; Magnoliopsida; Solanales; Solanaceae. The record is from RefSeq and is a predicted model, not a curated record.
UUAUUUUAUUUUCAGUGUAUUUUUUUAUUUUGUUUCUAUUUUUUUUACUAUCUACUUCUUCCUAUUAUUCUAUUUUUUCUUUAACCAAAGACCAUGGUCCAAAGACCCCUGAAGUUUGGUAGGAUGCCAAUGGGCUUUGCGGCCCAAUUAUUUCACCGAGAGGCGGGAGUUUUAAUUUGGAAAGGUGAAUAACAGUGUUGGUAAGGGUAUUUAGGCUCAAGAAAUAUUCUGAUAACUACCUAGGAAAGUUUUAGGAAAGUGAGGGUGGGGGAUCGAAUAAGUAAAUAGUACAAAAUUUAGGUAAAAAUUGUGCAAAAAACAGAUUUCUUGAGGGUGGUAUUGAAUUUAGAAAUUAUGAUUUUGUUGCCCUAAAGAGAGUGUUAUAAAUACACAUUAUAGGUUAGGAAAAAAGAAAGAAAAAAAGACAGACGACGGAAAAGAAAAUUGCAGAAAAAGGUUCAUUAAAUAUUUUUUCGUUCUUCAGCAUUUUGGGUCUUUAGCUAUUCUGGGUUUGAAGAGGAACUGGAUAGAGAUUCUUAUUGUUGCAGCUGUAUUGGUUAAAUUCCAACCCUACUGAGCUCCAUUUCUACAAUUUUCAGACUUUAUUUGUUUGAGUUCACUCUUUUAGUAGGUAUGUAGAUUUUCAGCUUUGUUAUGAACUUAGAGCAAAAUAAAAAUUGAUUUGUUCUUCUGAAUCUGUGAUUAGUAUUUCA